UCCUACCUCAAGGAUGUUUAUAAUGAUCAGAUGAGGGAGGAAGAAGACCCACAAAGUGAGCCCAGCUGUAGGCUCUUGCUAUCACCUAACUAGUCAAACCAUCUCUUCAGUCUUUUAAAUAGGGAGAAGCAGAGGAAGUAGUGUUGCUGUAAAGUGAGUUAGCUGUGUUUCCAAGAGUUUAAGUAGUCAAGUCAGAAGCCAUUUGCUUGCUUAGUUUGAAUUGAUAGAUGAAGGAGGACUUGAGUCCUUUGAAAGGCAAGAAGGUUGAGCUCCUGACCCACCCCUACCCACCUCCUCCAAACCCAGUUCAUUUGGAAUCAGGAACUCAAAAGUGAUUGCCUGGAGAAGCAUUCAUAUCUCUGUGCAAUGAAAGCUCAUCCAGGAUUGGUUCAGAAGUGCUUCUUUCAUGAAGUCCUCCCUGAUUUGACUCUGACUCCCAAACCUCAGCCAAAAGAUUCACCCAUGACAAUAAACAAGGCACUCCUGGAAUUGGAAAGCCCUCAUUCAUUCUUGGCAUUCCAAGCAAGAGCUCAGAACAUCCCUCAGGUCAAAGGCAUUGAGAUCCCUUUCAAAGACUUGUCCAAGAAAGUGUCAAACUGAGAGUGCCAUGAGUCAGAGAAUCAUGAAGCUAGGAUUCUCCUCUCCCUCCAGCACGACUUCUCCUAUACUCCUCGUCCCUCCUCCACCUCCCCCAUCUCCUGCUGAAGGCUACCUAGGCUGAUCUGAGAAUGAUGAAAUCUGACUGAAGUAGCUCAGGCCAACUUGCUGCCUCAUGUGUCUCCAAGGGGCUUUCCAUAUCACUAGAAAAGAUGAGCCUCUUCUUUGCACCCCUUUUUCAGUGUGAGUGAGAUGUUUGUCCUCUUGACUGGGGUUCUUAUUUCUUAGUUUGGGUGUUUUUAAAAAUUCUUUUAAAAUCAAUACUUUGACAUGAAGUAAGCACAGUUUUUGUUAUCUUUGUUGUAGAAUAUUUGUUGCCUUUUGUUAAUUAGCGAAAAUAAUAAAAGCUUGAAAGUGUGAGACUUCA
RNAcentral lists this long non-coding RNA (1024 nucleotides) under Monodelphis domestica (gray short-tailed opossum). RNAcentral's name for it is "lncRNA (ENSMODG00000033707.2)". Lineage: Eukaryota; Metazoa; Chordata; Mammalia; Didelphimorphia; Didelphidae. The record is from RNAcentral.